GACAGAGGGUGCAAACGUUGUUCGGAAUUACUGGGCGUAAAGCGUGUGUAGGCUGCUACAUAAGUCGGAUGUGAAAGCCCCGGGCUCAACCCGGGAAGUGCACUCGAUACUGCGUAGCUUGAGUCUCGGAGAGGUUGGUGGAAUUCUCGGUGUAGAGGUGAAAUUCGUAGAUAUCGAGAGGAACACCGGUGGCGAAGGCGGCCAACUGGACGAAGACUGACGCUGAGGAGCGAAAGCGUGGGGAGCAAACAGG
RNAcentral lists this ribosomal RNA (253 nucleotides) under uncultured bacterium. RNAcentral's name for it is "partial 16S ribosomal RNA". It matches the Rfam family "Bacterial small subunit ribosomal RNA", at positions 524 to 776 of the family's 1533-position model. The record is from RNAcentral.